Molecule: transfer RNA, 71 nt
Filed under: Stegodyphus mimosarum
Lineage: Eukaryota; Metazoa; Arthropoda; Arachnida; Araneae; Eresidae
Rfam family: tRNA
About the family: Transfer RNA (tRNA) molecules are approximately 80 nucleotides in length. Their secondary structure includes four short double-helical elements and three loops (D, anti-codon, and T loops).
Source: Rfam by way of RNAcentral
GCCUUCGUGAUGCUAUGGUAGCACAUUUGGCCUGUAUUCUAGAGGUCUAGGUUCGACUCCCGGCGAGGGCA